This 2901-nucleotide ribosomal RNA is filed under the name Escherichia coli. Its description in RNAcentral is "bacterial LSU rRNA". It matches the Rfam family "Bacterial large subunit ribosomal RNA". Lineage: Bacteria; Pseudomonadati; Pseudomonadota; Gammaproteobacteria; Enterobacterales; Enterobacteriaceae. The record is from RNAcentral.
UAAGCGACUAAGCGUACACGGUGGAUGCCCUGGCAGUCAGAGGCGAUGAAGGACGUGCUAAUCUGCGAUAAGCGUCGGUAAGGUGAUAUGAACCGUUAUAACCGGCGAUUUCCGAAUGGGGAAACCCAGUGUGAUUUGUCACACUAUCAUUAACUGAAUCCAUAGGUUAAUGAGGCGAACCGGGGGAACUGAAACAUCUAAGUACCCCGAGGAAAAGAAAUCAACCGAGAUUCCCCCAGUAGCGGCGAGCGAACGGGGAGGAGCCCAGAGCCUGAAUCAGUGUGUGUGUUAGUGGAAGCGUCUGGAAAGGCGCGCGAUACAGGGUGACAGCCCCGUACACAAAAAUGCACAUGCUGUGAGCUCGAUGAGUAGGGCGGGACACGUGGUAUCCUGUCUGAAUAUGGGGGGACCAUCCUCCAAGGCUAAAUACUCCUGACUGACCGAUAGUGAACCAGUACCGUGAGGGAAAGGCGAAAAGAACCCCGGCGAGGGGAGUGAAAAAGAACCUGAAACCGUGUACGUACAAGCAGUGGGAGCACGCUUCGGCGUGUGACUGCGUACCUUUUGUAUAAUGGGUCAGCGACUUAUAUUCUGUAGCAAGGUUAACCGAAUAGGGGAGCCGAAGGGAAACCGAGUCUUAACUGGGCGUUAAGUUGCAGGGUAUAGACCCGAAACCCGGUGAUCUAGCCAUGGGCAGGUUGAAGGUUGGGUAACACUAACUGGAGGACCGAACCGACUAAUGUUGAAAAAUUAGCGGAUGACUUGUGGCUGGGGGUGAAAGGCCAAUCAAACCGGGAGAUAGCUGGUUCUCCCCGAAAGCUAUUUAGGUAGCGCCUCGUGAAUUCAUCUCCGGGGGUAGAGCACUGUUUCGGCAAGGGGGUCAUCCCGACUUACCAACCCGAUGCAAACUGCGAAUACCGGAGAAUGUUAUCACGGGAGACACACGGCGGGUGCUAACGUCCGUCGUGAAGAGGGAAACAACCCAGACCGCCAGCUAAGGUCCCAAAGUCAUGGUUAAGUGGGAAACGAUGUGGGAAGGCCCAGACAGCCAGGAUGUUGGCUUAGAAGCAGCCAUCAUUUAAAGAAAGCGUAAUAGCUCACUGGUCGAGUCGGCCUGCGCGGAAGAUGUAACGGGGCUAAACCAUGCACCGAAGCUGCGGCAGCGACACUAUGUGUUGUUGGGUAGGGGAGCGUUCUGUAAGCCUGUGAAGGUGGCCUGUGAGGGUUGCUGGAGGUAUCAGAAGUGCGAAUGCUGACAUAAGUAACGAUAAAGCGGGUGAAAAGCCCGCUCGCCGGAAGACCAAGGGUUCCUGUCCAACGUUAAUCGGGGCAGGGUGAGUCGACCCCUAAGGCGAGGCCGAAAGGCGUAGUCGAUGGGAAACAGGUUAAUAUUCCUGUACUUGGUGUUACUGCGAAGGGGGGACGGAGAAGGCUAUGUUGGCCGGGCGACGGUUGUCCCGGUUUAAGCGUGUAGGCUGGUUUUCCAGGCAAAUCCGGAAAACUAAGGCUGAGGCGUGAUGACGAGGCACUACGGUGCUGAAGCAACAAAUGCCCUGCUUCCAGGAAAAGCCUCUAAGCAUCAGGUAACAUCAAAUCGUACCCCAAACCGACACAGGUGGUCAGGUAGAGAAUACCAAGGCGCUUGAGAGAACUCGGGUGAAGGAACUAGGCAAAAUGGUGCCGUAACUUCGGGAGAAGGCACGCUGAUAUGUAGGUGAAGCGACUUGCUCGUGGAGCUGAAAUCAGUCGAAGAUACCAGCUGGCUGCAACUGUUUAUUAAAAACACAGCACUGUGCAAACACGAAAGUGGACGUAUACGGUGUGACGCCUGCCCGGUGCCGGAAGGUUAAUUGAUGGGGUUAGCGGUAACGCGAAGCUCUUGAUCGAAGCCCCGGUAAACGGCGGCCGUAACUAUAACGGUCCUAAGGUAGCGAAAUUCCUUGUCGGGUAAGUUCCGACCUGCACGAAUGGCGUAAUGAUGGCCAGGCUGUCUCCACCCGAGACUCAGUGAAAUUGAACUCGCUGUGAAGAUGCAGUGUACCCGCGGCAAGACGGAAAGACCCCGUGAACCUUUACUAUAGCUUGACACUGAACAUUGAGCCUUGAUGUGUAGGAUAGGUGGGAGGCUUUGAAGUGUGGACGCCAGUCUGCAUGGAGCCGACCUUGAAAUACCACCCUUUAAUGUUUGAUGUUCUAACGUUGACCCGUGAUCCGGGUUGCGGACAGUGUCUGGUGGGUAGUUUGACUGGGGCGGUCUCCUCCUAAAGAGUAACGGAGGAGCACGAAGGUUGGCUAAUCCUGGUCGGACAUCAGGAGGUUAGUGCAAUGGCAUAAGCCAGCUUGACUGCGAGCGUGACGGCGCGAGCAGGUGCGAAAGCAGGUCAUAGUGAUCCGGUGGUUCUGAAUGGAAGGGCCAUCGCUCAACGGAUAAAAGGUACUCCGGGGAUAACAGGCUGAUACCGCCCAAGAGUUCAUAUCGACGGCGGUGUUUGGCACCUCGAUGUCGGCUCAUCACAUCCUGGGGCUGAAGUAGGUCCCAAGGGUAUGGCUGUUCGCCAUUUAAAGUGGUACGCGAGCUGGGUUUAGAACGUCGUGAGACAGUUCGGUCCCUAUCUGCCGUGGGCGCUGGAGAACUGAGGGGGGCUGCUCCUAGUACGAGAGGACCGGAGUGGACGCAUCACUGGUGUUCGGGUUGUCAUGCCAAUGGCACUGCCCGGUAGCUAAAUGCGGAAGAGAUAAGUGCUGAAAGCAUCUAAGCACGAAACUUGCCCCGAGAUGAGUUCUCCCUGACUCCCUGAGAGUCCUGAAGGAACGUUGAAGACGACGACGUUGAUAGGCCGGGUGUGUAAGCGCAGCGAUGCGUUGAGCUAACCGGUACUAAUGAACCGUGAGGCUUAACCU